This is an RNA transcript of Drosophila novamexicana, 2457 nucleotides long. RefSeq lists it as uncharacterized. The transcript has 9 exons. Lineage: Eukaryota; Metazoa; Arthropoda; Insecta; Diptera; Drosophilidae. The record is from RefSeq and is a predicted model, not a curated record.
GAGAGAGAGAGGGAAUAUCAACAACAAUUAUAUAUGUGCGUACAAUAUAGCAAAGCGUGUGCGCCAAAACAUGCGCUGGACAACGAACUUGUCAACCAGCCAGGCAGAGGCGUCGUUCGCUCUUUCUAAGGCAAGCCGAAGCUUGCAAGCAGCACAGCUUCGACUACGCCGCUGGCGCAGCAGCUGCGGCGAAGCCCAGACAGUCGCUGAAUUCGAUCAAAACAAGUUGGCGAACCGCACAGCCAUUCGCCGACUGCGGCGACUGCGACUGCAGCGUGCGAAAACAACACGCGAUUUACACCGCGCUGCCGCCCCAAUUCGCCCUAAUUCGCCGCAUCGGCUUGUUGUUGCCAUGCACUUCACUGGAAAGGCGUAAACAAGUGCAACGGCAAGCAGUAAACAAGCAAAUACACUGGGUCAACAUAGUCAAGCUAGUCUGUACCUCUGUUUGUCUACCGACAGCUCGGAUCUGUAUUUAGCUGGUAGCCAACCACUUGACUAGGCUUCCGUUGAUGUAAUUGAAUCCAUCUCUAUACGGAAUGCAUAUUUAAUACGAAAGCGCGUGAACCGCUUUAGCCGAGGCUCUCUGUACACAGAACAGACAGAUUGGCUGGUUAAUUGCCGGGGCCAUACAUAACACUGGGGCCAUUCCAUGUGAAGCAGCCAACGGAGCAGCAAAAAGGCGCUCAAAUUCAACGAUUCGUGGCCAGCAUGGAUGAGGAGCACGAGGACGAUCGAAUAAUAUGAGAUUAGAUGGGGCUUUAGAGCCCCGUCACGGUGCUGCAACGUUGCAGAGCCGAUUUAUUGGUGUUGCCAAAUAUCGGCGCGAGACGCGCCUAAAAUGUGAGCAACAGCAGCAACAAUGCGCUGACGAAGACGACGAAGCAGCAGCAGCAACAGCUAAGCACUUCAGCAACAGCAACAACAACAGCAGCAACUGUUUGCGCAACAAGAACAACAGCAACAAUUGCCUUGGGGCAGUUUUGGAGCAACAAGCUCAACAUUUGUCGCCCAGCCAGGCGCCAGGCACAACAACAACAACAACGGCUAACACAAAUAAAGUUAACUUGCACUUAAGCAUUGAGGGCGCCACAACAACAACAACAGCAGCAGCAACAACAACAACAGCAGUAGCAACAACACCAUCAAAUUGGCUCGCCACAGUCGCCUCCCUGAAAAUGCGUGUGAAGCAAUCGUUAAUGCUAAUGGCGCGCCGGGUCCACCGCCAGCUGAGCAUGAGGGGGCGCCUCGGCACCAGCAAUGUCCUGUGCCUGAUUUCCGUUGUUGCGCUGGCAGCGCUGCUGCCGCUGCCGCCGCUGGCGUUGGCCGAUGACGGUGACAAUUUCUUUGCCGUUAAUAGCUUCAGCGUGGGACCGGAGACGACAACACCCGAGUUUGAUUAUGCCAGCCGCGGCCAGAAAAAGUUCGGGGACAAGUGCGACAAUACAUUGGAGUGCGGCUUUCCCGGCUCCAUAUGCGAUCCCAAGAAGAAGUACUGCCAGUGCACCGACGAUCUGCAAAUCACCAAUCACAUUGAUAAAUGUGGCAAGGCGGCUGCCAUCAACGAGUCCUGUUUCUUCAACGAGCAGUGCGAGGCGAUUUACUUUCAGACCGAAUGCCGGGACGGACGUUGCAUAUGCCGCUUCGAGAUGUCGCCCAUUUGGGGCAAGGAUGGGUCCGUCGAGUGCAAAGGACGCCAGGACAAGCGUGGAGAAAGCACCUACAUUGAUCCGGCCAUGAUUGGCGUACUGGUAGGAAUGGCAUUGAUGUUUAUUAUUAUUUGUGUCGUCCUGCGAUUGUUUAGCCAGGCACGCUGGCACGAGAAUCGCACCAUAUUCAAUACGCCGAAUCCACGCCUGAUGAACGUCUCCCUCUUGCGGGACAACAAGCUGCUCCAUGGCCAGGAUAGACGCGGCUCGCGCAUGUCCGUGCGGGCGCCAUCCCGUCAGCCGAGCAUGGCCUCGCUGCGUCCGCACUCGCCGAAUCCGUCGCUAGGUCGCAUGAUACGCUCGAAGAGCAACACACGCUCCAGCGACUCACGUGUCAGCGAUGUUUCCAACUGUUCGCGUCUGCUGGAGCAUCCGAGCGCCGCCAGUCAGUACAAUGUUGUCCAUAGCCAUUUUUUGCCCUACGUGCCAACCACAACAACGGCGGCCAGUGUUGCCAACGCCACAACGACCUCAACGUUGACGCCAACGCCGACGCUGACGCCGACGCCAACGCCAGCGUCAUCGAACACCGUGACGACCACGUAUGUGUCGUCGCCGGGCACGGCGCCCGCCUGCGGCAUGACUGCCAAUCCGGCUGCCAAUAAGUUUUAGUCUUAGGCCACAUAUAUCCAAUGCAGCCAUAUCAGUACCAGUACCAGUUCCAGUUCCUGAACCAGUUCCCGAGGCUCCCAGUCGGACUCCCAUGGCAGCAAUGCAUCCGCCACCUCGGUGCGCUCGAACCGCAGCA